This 515-nucleotide ribosomal RNA is filed under the name uncultured bacterium. RNAcentral's name for it is "partial 16S ribosomal RNA". It matches the Rfam family "Bacterial small subunit ribosomal RNA", at positions 28 to 523 of the family's 1533-position model. The record is from RNAcentral.
GAUGAACGCUGGCGGCGUGCCUAAUACAUGCAAGUCGAGCGAAUGGAUUAAGAGCUUGCUCUUAUGAAGUCAGCGGCGGACGGGUGAGUAACACGUGGGUAACCUGCCCAUAAGACUGGGAUAACUCCGGGAAACCGGGGCUAAUACCGGAUAACAUUUUGAACCGCAUGGUUCGAAAUUGAAAGGCGGCUUCGGCUGUCACUUAUGGAUGGACCCGCGUCGCAUUAGCUAGUUGGUGAGGUAACGGCUCACCAGGGCAACGAUGCGUAGCCGACCUGAGAGGGUGAUCGGCCCCACUGGGAAUGAGACCCGGCCCAGACUCCUACGGGAGGCAGAAGUAGGGAAUCUUCCGCAAUGGACGAAAGUCUGACGGAGCAACGCCGCGUGAGUGAUGAAGGCUUUGGGGUCGUAAAACUCUGUUGUUAGGGAAGAACAAGUGCUAGUUGAAUAAGCUGGCACCUUGACGGUACCUACCCAGAAAGCCACGGCUAACUACGUGCCAGCCGCCGCCGUAA